CACGUAGGGCGCAAGCGUUGUCCGGAAUUAUUGGGCGUAAAGAGCUCGUAGGCGGUCUGUUGCGUCCGCUGUGAAAACUCGGGGCUUAACCCCGAGCCUGCAGUGGAUACGGGCAGACUAGAGGUAGGUAGGGGAGAAUGAAAUUCCCGGUGUAGCGGUGAAAUGCGCAGAUAUCGGGAGGAACACCGGUGGCGAAGGCGGUUCUCUGGGCCUGACCUGACGCUGAGGAGCGAAAGCGUGGGGAGCGAACAGG
Molecule: ribosomal RNA, 253 nt
Filed under: uncultured bacterium
Lineage: Bacteria
Description: partial 16S ribosomal RNA
Rfam family: Bacterial small subunit ribosomal RNA
Source: RNAcentral